Molecule: long non-coding RNA, 8407 nt
Filed under: Lactuca sativa (garden lettuce)
Lineage: Eukaryota; Viridiplantae; Streptophyta; Magnoliopsida; Asterales; Asteraceae
Description: long non-coding RNA (LSAT_LNC007365)
Source: RNAcentral
CUAGAACAAAACAUGCACGGUUGGACAGGCCCAAUACCGGCAAUCAAAACUGGGCUAAGGACCGAGCCCAUGACGCAACAUAAUAAUCCCAACAAUCUCCCCCUUUGCGUCAAAUGAGGCGAGAGAUUAUUUCUUCUGUGUUGACUUCACUGUCUUUAUCACCUUGAACAACCGAGGAAUUAUUGCAAGAAGUGUCUGCCGAAACUGGAUAUACCACCUCAACAUUUCAGUGAACAACUUCUUAUCAGCUGCACUGUUCUGAUCUGUAACGACCCAAUUUUCACGCCCAAAAAUUUCAUUUAAAUUAAGUAGCUUGUAAAACAUUUAUAGUAAAACAACAUCCGAUCAUAUCAUUUCAUAAAACAUAUCUCGUGUCUGAAAAUCCAAAACAUGAAAAUAAUAAUAAUGUUAGAGUACAAUCCCAGAACAUCAUAAUGCGGAAAACCAAAGUGUGUGUGUGUAUGAUGUGCCACUACCGCGCCCGCUCCUUCCCCUUCGCUGAAGAGGUACCUGAAACCAAAACUAAAAACUGUAAACACGAAGCUUAGUGAGCUCCCCCAUCGUACCACAUACCAUACAAUCAUAUCACAUACAUACUACCAAGCGUUUCAGGGGUGCCCGACCUACCCGGUAUGACCAUUCUGGGGUGCCGACCUACCCGUACGGCCAUUCUGGGGUGCCGACUUACCCAUGCGGCCAUUCUGGGGUGCCGUCCUACCCGUGUCAAGCCAUUCUGGAGUGCUGACUACCCAUGUCAAGCCAUUCUGGGGUGCUGACUACCCUUCGGUCCUAACAACCGAUCCUCGGGGACUAUUUCACCCCUACUACUACUAUCACAUAUAUCAUAGCAUAAUCUAUUGUCAGACAUAUCUGGGGUGUCCGACCUACCCUUCGGUCCUAACAACCGAAUCUCGGGGACUCUUCCCCCUCCUACUACCUCUAUCUCAUGUAACAUAUCAUGCUAGCAGCUAAACAUGUCAUAACAUACUGUUAGGCAUAUAUGGGGUGCCUAACCUACCCUUCGGUCCUAACAACUGAACUCUAUCACUAUCAUAUACCAUAUCACGCUAGCAUAUAACAUAUCAGGUAGUAACAAUACAGAUGAAUAUCACAAAGACAAACAUCUAGCAUACGAUCCCUACUGGUGGGCCGGCAUUGUGGUCGUAGACCCACCGAUACUGGAAGGUAACUCCCCUCGUACUAGCUGCUGAACUGUAUGGGAAUCCUCUGACUGCUGCUGCUGCUGCUCCGGAAAUCCUCCGGCUACAAUUCCCACAACAUACUCAAUCAAACACUGCUAACUGUCCUUUGGGUAAAAUGACCAUUUUACCCCUGANGUCAAAGUCAAAGUCAACUUCUAGUUGACCUGACUCGCCGAGUUGGCUCGCCAACUCGCCGAGUCCCUAUCCUUCCAUUAGACCUCAUACUCGUCUCUACUCGUCGAGUUAGGCGAUGACUCGACGAGUUUUCCUUCUAAAGGAACAUCGACUGAAUCCUCAUUCGACUCGCCGAGUUGUAUGAAAAACUCGUCUUGUUUAUCAUCAACUGAUACUCAGGUCUUUUCCUUGACUCGCCGAGUUGUAUGAACAACUCGUCGAGUUCAUCUUCAUUCUUAAGAAGAUUGCCUUGGAUGCACUGAGUCUGUUCAUGUACUCGCCGAUUCCCAUGAAUUUCCAGAACAAUGGCUUAGUCCAGAACGUUGGGUCACCCCUUGGGACCCCCUUAAAACCUUUCCACACUCAAUAGGGUCCUUAUGACCCUCAACUAAUAUGGUACAGAACGGACUCGCCGAGUUGGUCACAACCACUCACUGAAUCUUCGCUUUUUGAUGUACAACACUUGAUCAAAAUGUAGAUCUAAGCUUCUACAAUCGAUCUAGCACGUAAAGUUACAACCUUUACGUUCUUGCAUGGGACUUUAAGCUCAAAAGGUCCUAAAACAAGCUCUCACAAUGCAUGGGGCCUUCUUUGAGUGCAAAAGUCACUCCUUUCUGCCUUGUAACCCCUCAAAGGACCUAGAUCCGAAACAUCAACCUCAAACCAUGCUUGCAAUCGUGGUUGGUGACCAAAAUGGCUUAGAAAAGCCCUAAAACUCCAUAAAAUGGGAUCUAUCAAAAGAGCAAGCAAGGCAUAGACUUUAUACCUUCUGAAGUCAGCCAAUGGUGCUCAAAACUGAAUCCUUCUAGCCUCCUCUUGAUCCUUCAAGCUUUUCCUUCCUUCCUUGGAUCAAAAAAGCACCAAAAUCACUCCAAAGGCCUUAGAUUGCUUUAAUANAACGGCUAGGGUUUGCUAUGGGGGUCUUCUAGGAGCAAAUGAGACUAAGGAGGCCGAGUUAAGGUGUUUAAAUAGGGUGCAAACCCUCGGAUUAGGGUUUUUUCCCAAACAAGGUCUACUCGCCGAGUCCACAACUUAAACUCCGCGCCUCAUCCCGCUUCUACUCGGCGAGUUGGUCCUUCAACUCGCCGAGACCAAGACCAAAAGCAAAAUAUUAAAAGAUUUAAUAAAAAGAACACGUACCAAGAAGCAGGUGCUACAAAUCUCCCCCACUUAUUUUAGACUUCCUCCUCGAAGUCUGUUGCUCGAUCCUGAAACAGCUCGAGGUAGUGCUCCAUCAUCUCAUCCACCGGCUCCCAAGUCCACUCCGACCCCUUCUGGUGCUGCCAUUGCACCUUCACGAGUUCUACUCUUUUGUUCCUCAGAUCCUUCGACUUCCGGUAAAGGAUCGCUACAGGCCGCUCGAUGUAAUUCAGGUCGCCAUCAACCUGAAUGUCCUCCAAGGGUACCACUGCUGAGUCGUCCACCAGGCACUUUCGCAGCUGAGAAACAUGGAAAGUGUUGUGUAUCUGACUGAGUUCGGCUGGCAAAUCCAGCCUAUAAGCCACCUUGCCCACUCGGGCUAUAACCCUGAACGGUCCAAUAUACCUUGGGCCCAACUUGCCCCGCUUCCUGAAUCGAAUGACGCCUUUCCAAGGCGACACUUUCAGGAGAACCAUAUCCCCGACCUGGAACUCCAGGUCUGAUCGACGCUUAUCGGCAUAACUUUUCUGCCGACUCUGAGCAGUCUGAAGCCUGCCUUGGACCUGCUGAAUCUUCUUUGUCGUCUUGAGCACUACUUCAGUGCUCCCAAUGACCCUCUGGCCAACCUCGCCCCAACAUAUCGGGGUCCUGCACCUCCUCCCAUACAACAGCUCGAAGGAAGGGCAGUCGAUGCUCGCAUGAUAGCUAUUAUUAUACGGGAACUCCGCCAACGGAAGGUAGGGAUCCCAGCUACCUCCGAAGUCUAAAACACAUGCCCGUAGCAUGUCCUCCAGAGUCUGGAUGGUCCGCUCGCUCUGGCCAUCCAUCUUCGGGUGAAAGGCGGUGCUGAAAUGCAGACGAGUACCUAACUCUUCGUGGAAUUUCUUCCAAAACCUGGAUGUGAACCGCACAUCCCUAUCCGAAAUCACCGAAACUGGCACUCCGUGCCGGGCCACCACCUCUCUGAUAUAGAUAUCGGCCAAUUUGUCGGCCGAGAUGCUCUCCUGAAUUGGGAUAAAAUGGGCGCUCUUGGUCAAUCGAUCCACGAUGACCCAUAUCGAAUCCACUCCCCGUGCGGUCCUGAGAAGCUUGGUGAUAAAAUCCAUCGUAAUAUCCUCCUAUUUCCACAGCGGGAUAUCCAACGGCUGCAUCUUGCCGUGAGGUCUUUGAUGCUCAGCCUUGACCUUCCUGCAGGUCAAGCACCGCUCCAUGUACCAUGCCACAUCCCGCUUCAUGUAGGGCCACCAAUAGUCCAGACGAAGAUCCCUAUACAUCUUCGUCGCCCCAAGAUGAAUGGAGAAUCGGGAUUUGGGCGCCUCCUCCAUCAAGAUCUGGGGCACGCCUCCGAGGUAUGGCACCCACACCCUGCAGUGUAAUGCCAAUAAUCCCCUGCUGUCAUAGUCGAAUGAGGAAACCUGACCCACUAUAUNCUCUUCCGAUGUUCCUCCUUCAUGGCCUCCUGCUGGGCCUCCCGAAUCCGCUCCAAUAGCGGAGUCACCACUGUCAUCUGCAUGCAGUUAUCCCUGAUCGGCGCAGCCUUGCGGCUAAGCGCAUCGGCCACCACAUUGGCCUUACCUGGGUGAUAAAGGAUCUCACAAUCGUAAUCCUUUACCACAUCCAUCCACCGAUGCUGUCUCAUGUUUAGAUUCGGCUGAUCCAUGAGGUACCUCAAACUCUUAUGGUCCGUGUAAAUGGUACAGCAAACCCCAUAGAGGUAAUGACGCGAAAUCUUGAGGGCGAACACAACAGCCCCCAACUCCAAGUCAUGCGUCGGGUAAUCCACCUCGUGAGGCUUCAGUUGCCUCGACGCGUAGGCGAUGACAUGCCCUCUCUGCAUCAAUACUGCACCCAAACCUGAGAUGGACGCAUCGCAAUAAACAACAAAAUCCCCCAUACCCUGUGGCAGGGCUAAGAUUGGUGCCUUGCACAAUCUCUGUCUCAGUGUCUCGAACGCUGACUACUGCUCAGGCCCCCAACGAAAGACCACGACCUUCCUUGUUAGCCUGGUCAAUGGUACGGCUAUCUUGGAGAAAUCCUGGAUGAAUCUUCGAUAAUAGCCCGCUAAUCCCAGGAAACUCCGAAUCUCAGAUGGAGACUUCGGAACCUCCCAUCUCAUCACGGCCUCCACCUUGGCCAUGUCUACCGAAAUCCCGUUCUGGUUGACAAGGUGCCUAAGAAACUGCACCUCGCGCAACCAAAACUCACAUUUGGAGAACUUGGCAUACAAGCUCUCCCUCCUCAAAGUCUCCAACACCUCCCGCAGGUGCUCCUCGUGCUACUCCUGCGUCUUGGAAUAAACCAAGACAUCAUCAAUAAACACUAUCACUGACCAGUCUAACAUCGGUCUACACACGUGGUUCAUGAGGUCCAUGAAUGCGAAAGGAGCAUUGGUGAGCCCGAAGGGCAUCACCACAAACUCAUAGUGGCCAUAGCGCAUUCGAAACGCAAUCUUCUGCACAUCCUCCUCUAUGACCCUCAUCUGAUGAUAUGCUGAACGCAGAUCAAUCUUGGAGAACCAAGAAUCUCCCUGUAGCUGGUCAAAGAGGUCAUCAAUCCUCGGGAGUGGGUAACGGUUCUUCACUGUUACCUUAUUUAGCUCCCUAUAGUCUAUACACAUACGGUGCGACCCGUCCUUCUUCUUCACAAACAGAAUCGGGGGUCUCCAAGGCGAACUACUUGGCCUCAUAAAUCCCUUAUCUAGCAGCUCCUGCAGCUACCUAGACAACUCCUGCAUCUCAGGAAAGCCAACCAAUAGGGUGCCUUGGCUAUCGGAGCCGCACCAGGGACUAGGUCGAUCCUGAACUCCACCUGGCACUUCGGAGGUAUCCCAGGCAGCUCCUCGAGGAAUACGUCCGCGAACUCUCAUACUACGGGCACCACGCCCACCGUCGCUCUACCCCCCUCCCGGGUAUCCAUAACAUAAGCGAAAUAACCUAUGCAACCCUGCUGGAGGUAAUGCCUAGCUCUCGCUGCUGAACAUAGGGCUGGUCCUCGCUGUGGUCUCUCACCAUGAAUCACCAGCUCUCCCCCACUUGGGGUCCUGAUCCGCAGUGACAGUUGCGCGCAGUCGAUCACUGCCCCAUUGGGGCUUAGCCAAUCCAUACCAAUAAUAACCUUCUUCCCCCGUAAAGGUAUGGGAACCAAAUCCACCAGAUAACGCUCCUCAAAUAACCUCAGUACACAAUCUCGAAACAUUGUCGAUGCUCACACCGAACAGUCAUCUGCAAUCUCUACGUCUAGAGGGCACUCCAACAUGCCUGAAGACUCGGAAAAUCUCUUGCUGAGCGCAAGAGAAACGAACGAUCGGGUAGCACCUGAAUCAAACAAUACCUGAACUAGGAUGCUGUUCACAUGGAACGAUCCUAAACAGAGCACAUACAUAACAUAUCAAAAUCACAACAGCAUAUCAUAACAACAUAAAUAAGAAGUCAUACCCGUCACCACAUCGAGUGCAGUGCGUGCCUCCUCGGUAGUCAACUGGAAUGCCCGGCUCCUCACCACUAGAGCCUCUGCCCUGCCCUGCCGGCCAUCAGUGAUCUGCAGGGUCGCUGGAGUUGGCGCCUUCACUGGCGUUGAUGCUGCUGUCAACUGGGGGCAAUUGGCGUUCUUGUGGCCCCUCUGGUUGCAGUGGAAACAUGGAAACUCAGACGUCUGAAUGACCGGUGCAGGGGCAGUACAAUCCCUGCUGAAAUGCCCUGUCUUGCUGCACUUGUAGCAGCCUGACGAUCCCAGUCUACACGCCCCUUCAUGUGGUUUGCUGCAUUUCCUGUAGCGGCCCAGUCCGGACUGGCCUUUCGGCCUACCAUCUGAUCCCUUGGGCUUCUUCCCGGAAGCCGCAAUCGACUGCCCUUCAUCUACUUUCCUCUUCCGGACAUGCUCCAGAUCGAUCUCCUUCUCCCUCGCCCUGGCAAUCAUGGAUUCCAAGGUAGGGCAAGCUGAAAAGCUAACAUGCUCUCGGAUGUCUUCCCGUAGGAUGUCAUGGUAGCGGGUCCUCCUCAUAUCCUCAUCACCCGCAUACUGGGGCACUAGCAACGCCCUCUCCCGGAACUUGGCGGUGAUCUCCGCCACAGUCUCCGUCGUCUGCCUCAUAUCUAAAAACUCCCUGGCCAGCUACUGAAGCUCGACAGCCGAUGCAAACUCUGCUCUGAACCUGGUCAGAAAGUCCGACCAGGUCAUUGCCUCAAUAGCCGAGGCUCCCAAUAAGUCACCGACAUACUCCCACCAAUCUCUAGCUCAGUCUCGUAAACAUCCUGCUGCAUAUCUCACCUUCGACCCCUCGGGGCAGAAGCUGGUCAGCUGUGCGGACUCAAUGUCCGCAAUCCAUCGUCUGGCAGCAAUGGGAUCCUUCGCCCCAUGGAACUCCGGCGCACCACUGCCCCUGAAGUCCUUAAAGGAUAGUGUGAGAGAUCCUGACUGGCCAGAUGUCAUGUUACUCCUGAACGCCCUGAGGCGGUCCUCCAUCAGCUCAACUAUCCCUUCCUUGAUCGACCCAAAAAUGAUGGGGGUCGACUCAAGGAUGCCUCUGGUGAUCUCUGACGCGAUGAACUCGUGUAGCCUCUCAUCUACUGGCUUAGAACCUGAUCCCAAACCCGAUCCCUCUCCAGAACUGCCAAAUGUUGGCCUCUAACGUAGUACCACCAUUCUGCAAUACAUACAGGCAACUAUUAGUGAUAUUGAUACCUCUAAAGGGAUCACAUCUACUACAAGUUCCCCGGUCUUGUCUUAGCCUUCCUCAAUUCGGGUACGAAUCCUCUGCUUUCAGUAGUACAGGCCCAUACUACCUUCCACAUCUAUCCAUACCUUCCUUAAGGACUGCUCCACCAGGUCCCUUUUACCACUGCUGAUCUUUGCUACUCUAAUCCUAGGCUUACCCUAGGAAACCUCUGACUCCACCCAACCCAGUCCUCAGCUGCUGAAGGUCUCUUUGUAAUGCCAAUUAGCCAUUACCUGAAUACAAUCACAUGCAAUGAGGGUCGGGUAAUCCUUCGAGUAAGGGACUCAUCCCUACAACGGUUAGGACUCAAACAAGAGCUACGCAAUAGGGUCAAAUCCAACACUCUAUGAUUAUUCAACCCCGAUCACAUGUGACUUUAAUGUAUUCACCUAACAGCUAACUCCCAUCACUCAAAGCCCUCAUAGCACAAAGCAAACAGUAUUCGGACAAAAAGGGAACAAUCUCAAGCAACUCUAUCCUCAUAAUAGGAACUGCACUAGCAUACAAUGCUAAGCUCAUACUAUCAGGCAUAACCUAGUCAGGCUAUCCUACUGCUGUCUACUCAAUUCUAGCAUGUAACUCUCAUAAGCUAAAGCACAUAAAGCAGAAGCACAUAAAGUAGGCACAUAAGGAAUCACUCCUAGAUCCUUAGUCCUUUUCUAGCAUGUUGUUCUACUGAAACUGAUAAACGUAACAUAAACUUGUAUGGGUACUUUGGGGAACACUUACUUGAGCUUGUCCGGUCGCACACAUCACACACUUGUUCUUUCUAAAAAACUCUUCUAUUUUAUUCUUUAGAAAACCACUUUCUUAUAAAAUCUUUUAAUCCCUCGGUUUGAGUCCAGGCGCCCCCGAAGGUAUGUCCGAAUCCCUCAAACCAGGGCUCUGAUACCAACUUGUAACGACCCAAUUUUCACGCCCAAAAAUUUCAUUUAAAUUAAGUAGUUUGUAAAACAUUUGUAGUAAAACAUCAUCCGAUCAUAUCAUUUCAUAAAACAUAUCUCGUGUCUGAAAACCCAAAACAUGAAAAUAAUAAUAAUGUCAGAGUACAAUCCCAGAACAUCAUAAUGCAGAAAACCAAAGUGUGUGUGUGUAUGAUGUGCCGCUACCGCACCAGCUCCUUCCCCUUCGCUGAAGAGGUACAUGAAACCAAAACUGAAAACUGUAAGCACGAAGC